This 412-nucleotide ribosomal RNA is filed under the name uncultured bacterium. RNAcentral's name for it is "bacterial SSU rRNA". It matches the Rfam family "Bacterial small subunit ribosomal RNA", at positions 64 to 507 of the family's 1533-position model. The record is from RNAcentral.
GAACGAGAACGUGGAGCAAUCCAUGAGUAAAGUGGCGACCGGNGUGAGUAACACGUGACCAACCUGCCCUCGAGUGGGGAAUAACUCCGGGAAACCGGAGCUAAUACCGCAUAACAUCGCAAGAUCAAAGCCGCAAGGCGCUUGAGGAGGGGGUCGCGGCUGAUUAGCUAGUUGGUAGGGUAAUGGCCUACCAAGGCGAAGAUCGGUAGCCGGCCUGAGAGGGCGCACGGCCACACUGGAACUGAAACACGGUCCAGACUCCUACGGGAGGCAGCAGUGGGGAAUUUUGCGCAAUGGGGGAAACCCUGACGCAGCAACGCCGCGUGGAGGAUGAAGUCCCUUGGGACGUAAACUCCUUUCGACCGGGACGAUACUGACGGUACCGGAAGAAGAAGCACCGGCUAACUCUGUG